CGGUGCACGGCGGGAGCCGUCGCUUUGGCCACCGGCGUAAACAGCGCGGCAUGAGCAGGCCGGACCCGGCCGCCGCCGCCCCCCCCCGGGCCUGCUGCCAGGGCCUCGGCGGGCUCCUGCGGCGCCUCCGCGACAGUGAAGCCAAAAGGCUAGAAUUAGAAAGAAAACUGAUGGAAUACCGAAAAUCUGAUGCAUACCUAAUGAAAACAAAAUACGUGAAGCUGAAAAGAUACUUGAAAGAAAUAGAAGAACGACAAAAAGGAGCUCUUCUGCGAAACCAGACCUUUUUAAAGGAAUUUGACCAAUUUGAAGCUCAUAUGAAAGCUUCAAGUUCAGAGAUGAUUCAGAAGAUGGAAGCAUGGUAUGGAAGAGAAAUUAGAAGUAUGUUACCACUUCAGGAGGGUAACUUGUCAGCAGAAGGUGACAGGGAAGCAGAAUACAACAAGCAGAUGCCGCAGGUUGGAAGACAGGCAGAAAUCAGCACCAAGACAGGCGUGCUAACAGGACUGUAUCAUCCAGCAACAGUCUUUAUGGGCUGCCAUACCUCAGCUGUCUCUGCCGCUGGAAGUUUGGGCGCACAGCAGAACCACCCCCAGCCCACAGAGAGCUGCUUGACACUCGACUCACCGUCAUGCUCUCUGUCAGUUGAAGAACCUGGUCCAGAGAGAAGAAAUGCUGAUUUAGAGAGCGAUGCAUCAGUGGAGGGAGUAGCAAGACACAGGGACCUGGCUGCCAGUGAGGAAGGCUCCGAGCAGCUCAUCUCCUCAGCUUCUGAUCUUAAACCAGCUACCCCCAAGGAGGAAGAGCCACAGGGAAGCAUCCCAGAACCAAAGCCAUGCCUGAGUAACUGGUGGACUUGUAAGGAAGCAAGCUGGGAGAGCAGCAGCAAGCUCCCGGUCCCCAGGAGCGCUGAGGAGGUGGUGCCGAGCACUGCUGGCAUGCUGCAUGGAACAGCCCCGUUGGUGACCGGCUGGGAGCGGAGCAGGGAUGCCCACACUGUGGAGGGCUCCCCACUGCAACCACCAAACCCUGCCGUGGCGCACGAGGAACCCUCGGUCAGCUCAGGACCAGAUGGGCACCACAGGAUGCUGGUGGGACUCUCUUGUGCGCUGCAGUUGAUAGAAGAUGUGGUGGUGAGGAUGAGCCCCCAGCGCCAGGCUCUGUACCAGGGCAAGCACGUGGGGACGAUGGGGACGGCGGAGCUGCUCAGCUUUUGUAAUCGGGCUGGCAAUCUGAAAGAAGAAGACCUUGAAGCAUGUGAAGCAGUUGUCCUUCAUCAGCUUCAGGCUUUAUUACAGAGCGCUCUGAAUGGAUGUCUUCUACCUGAGAAAACACUUGAUGCUAAAGGUGCAGCGGUAGAUGAAAAGCAAACCAGGCCAGACCAGCAGUGGGAUGUGGACGUGCUGCGGACUUGCUUGAGCAGCCAUGCCUUGUUCUUGAAAAAGCACCAGGUUCAGCUCACAGAAGAAGUGGCAGAGAUGUUUGGAAGACUGCUGGUUUCCAGCAAGGAGGCACAGGAUGGCCAGGCUCUACCAGUGUUGAGAGAGGUCCUUCCAGAAGAGUGUGGGGAUAGGCCAUCUAUUCAGAGUAAUGAGUCAUCUUACAGCUUGCCAUCGAUCCCAAACGACGGUGAGGAAAUAAAGCCGGCAAAACACGCUCCCUGGCUCGCCGGCGCGGGAGAACAAGAAGUCACAAGCUGGUGUGAAGAUGAGAGCAAGGAAGAAAGCACAGUCGAAAAGAUUCCUAUUACAGGUGUGUACUCCGAUGGAAAGGUGCAAGGGCAUCUGCUUAUGCAAUGCUCACUGUUGCUUUUCUGCUCUUUUACGGCUUCAAAAUAGCCUGUCUUUCAGAGAGCAAUUCAUUUCUCUACAGAGGUUUUCCUCUGCUGCUUUUUGAGCCUCAUUUGCAGCUGAAAUAUAAAAAUGUGCUUCUUGUAUUCGUGAAUUAUACUGCAGCAGUAAUAUUCCUAUGUUAGCCCAAUAAAACUUAGAUAUUUCUAGAGUAGAAUGCUUUCCAUUUUCCUGCUUCUUAAAAUGUCCUUCAGUCACAGAUGGUAACAUAUUUUAAAACAUGAAUUGCAUUGAUUUUUAGAAGAAUUAAAAGCCACUUAAAUCUUUUUCAUGAAACAAAACACAAUUCUCGUUUGAAAAUUGAUCUAAAAUUUUACAAAUCCUGGGAUUGAUUCAAUUUUUGUUUGUAAUUUAAGAGGAUUCAAAUUUGAGGAUGGAGGUUGAAGUUCCCUAAACUGCAGAGAGUGCCAGCAAGACCAGUGUCAGGAGUGGUGGCUCACUCCAACUAAUGCCAUCACUGAUAGUAUUUUGGGGUUGUUUUUUUUUAAGAAUACCGGCUCUGGAGUUGAGACUCCUGUCACUGCCAAUGCUUUUGGUUUGCUUCUCCCCACCCUGAAUUUUGUGACUGGCCAGUAGUGGUUUUAGCUGUGGUUUUGCACAUGAAUUUGUUGGGGAAUUCUCUGCUGCAGUUUUUCAUGCUGGAGACCCCGGCGGUCUGUGCGGCUGGCUGCUGUGUCAGGUGUCAGCCGUAAGCCAAGCCAUGAUGGACAUCCCCCUUCCCUCCUUCUCCCAUAGCUCUCUUUUUGAAUGGGCAUGUGAAUACGCAUGCUUCUUAUUUGUAAAAAUGCUGAGAAACUCUCCCUAACCUAAACACUGAAACCAGUGACUUCAGUUUAAACUCCGUUCUUUCUGAGUCUGCUGUAUUUACUGUUUUGUUGCUGCAUGUUUCCAGUAGCCAGCAGUCACAUUGUCUCUAGGAGUGAGGCUUUUCAUAUCUCAAUUGAAAGCAAAGUUGCUCCUUUCAGAUGUGAUUCAUCUUCAGCCCGUGAUCUUCUCUGGGCUCCUUGUUCUCUUCUGGCUCCUCACCCUUCCAGCCUGUCACUUUUUUCCUUUUUGCUUGUCAUUAUUUGCUGUAGAUUGUGGCUCUGGAGCUCUGGAAUUGUUCUGUGCCUAAAAUAAAGGCAGCACCUCUGCGUGUUGUCUUUUGGGCUCAAAUGACUUGUCUGGGCGUUUGGCAUUGUGUUUUUAGAUGAACUGAUAUUUGAUGUCCGUUCUAUAUGCAAUCGUUUUGCUGCACAACUUUUUCUAAGCUUAAGCGAUACAAAUUUUGUGGGGUUUUUCAGUAUUUGCUGCAUUGUUUAAGGGCUUUAAGUUGUCUUGCAACAUGGGAAGCCUUGGGGCUUCUGGUUCUGAUGGGCUUCAUUGUGAGAGCCGGGUGGAUGUGCUUCCAAGCAGUCUUCUGUAACAGCACUUUACGAAUGCUUCUGCAGUUUUGGUUUAUUUUUCCUUUAUUUCUGUUACAGAAGAAAAAAAACCCAACCAAAAAUUUAUUUAAAUAUUCUGUAAAUAUUCCAGAGAGAUUUGUAUUUUUUCUUUAAUGCCUGUAGGGGAGGGAAGAGAGAGCUUUGUGGCUUUGGGGAAAGGGCUUCAGAGUGGUGGCUGGCUUAGUGUUGUAUGUCCCUUAGAGGCAGCCUGUGGUGGUACCUGAAACUGCUUGUGCGAGGACUGACUUCACCCGGAGCUCUUAUAAACAGAGGCUGGGACUGAAACAUCUGUGGAGCUGUCCCCUCCGUAGCAGGACACGUGAGCUUUCCAAACACGUAGUCAGCUCGGGGCGCAGGGGCAGUGUAGCUCAUAGCAUGAUGAUGGUUUCUUUCCUAAGCUUGUGGAAGGCCAUGUUGUGAUAAUUGACUUUAAAAGGAUUAUAUUUUGUGUAUGGUCUCACCCAGAGAGGAGUUAGCUAUUAAUAACAAUCUCAUUUUGUACCAGGUUGUAUGAGGAUAGAGGAAGAUAGGUGAACUCAUUCUCAUUUUCUUCAUGGAUGCUUUGUUUUUUAUCGUGGGAAGACAUGUAAAAGGAAUUGUUCAGCUUUUUGCUGUUCCUGAGUUCCUGAGGCGAAUAAUGUGAGAUUAAAAAGAAAGGAUAAAAUCCAUUAUUUCUUAUUUUGCUGGAUGACUGUUUAGGAGUCUCAUUUAUGGGUAGGAAACUGAUGAUUUUAUUGAACGGGCAGUUUUGUUAAAUCUCUUAACAAAACCAGAUUUUCUCUCUCUCCCCCCCCCCCCCCCCCCCCUUCAUGUAUGUCUUUGAUUUAAACAGACUUUAAAGCUAUAAAGCAUUUGAAUAAAAAUGCCGUUACCUCUCCACUCAUCAGGCUUCACUUUCACAACGUCUUGAAUGUCACCUUCCAGCUACUCUCCAGAUAUAAAAUCUCUAAUAUAGAAAUAAGGAGGAAAAACCCUCUUAAGAAGAAAAAGAAAAUUAGCCCUUCUUUAUAUAUCAUAAGGGAACAUAAAAGAGCACAAAUCCAAUUCUGCUUUCCUUUUUAGGUCACCUUUAAUGAGCCAAUAAUCCUGCCAACACUUUUCCCACGCCCACAUGUCCUUCCAGUGAGGUCCUCCUUUGAGCUUGAAGUUAAAAGGUUCCCAAGGUUUCACUUGGAGUGCACUAAUAAAGGCAUUAAUAAGUCUACCCAACUUUUCGCUUCACUUGGUAUCAACCCAUUCACAACUGCUGUUAUGGAAAAAGUUCAUCUGUAUGUGAGUAAUUCCUGCUGCUGUUGUGAUCCAACAGAACUACCUUGGGACAGCCUAAGAUUGUACUUUUUGCUUAAAUUAUUUUGGAUUGCGUACUCCAGUAGGCGAUAUUUUAUGCUGCUCAACAGUUCCUGAAAGACCUCAGAAUCUUUUUUAGUUAUGAAUUCUGGGUGAUAAUUCUUCUUUGACCUUUAAACAGAGGCAGCAGCUUCUAGAAAUAUUCCCAGUGGAUGGCUUGCUCCACUGGGAUUUCCUAAGUCUUCUGGUCAUCCAAGAGUCUGCUUUUGAGAGGAUAGCCUCGUAUGUUGGUAUAUUAUUGUGAUAAGAGUAUUUAUCUUUUUUUUUUUUUCAUUUAAAGAAAGAUGGGAAAUAUUUGUUGAUAUUUGACCUACUUUACUGCAGUGUUAGGUUUUAAUUUGGAGAUUUUUUUUCCAUCUCUUUGCUCUCCAAAGAGCACAUCCUUCUAUCAGAUUUGCAGGUAGCUUUUACCUUCUCUCUGUAUGCAAGUGUUUUUGCCUUAUCUCAAGGGAAAUCAGUGUGUCUCAGAGCCCGUAUGCAGCUGGCACUCCCACCUCCUGUCCCAGCGCGGCUGUGUGUGCGCUGGCAGUGGUACGGCAGCUGAAGCCCACCUUUAAUCCCACAAGACUCUUUGCAGUUUAUCAGCCUGCACAGUAAUUAGCGUUACGGUGGUAGAGGAGCUUGUUCAGAUUUAAAGUUGCUCUGGGCAGGAACUAUUGCUGGUCUGUUUUGGUACAGGACCUGGCACUAUGGCAGCCCAGAGCUACCAGGACUUCUGAAUGCAGAUGCAAUAACUAUUGCAGAGGUAACUUAAAGCUACACAUCUUGCAGGCUCAGCUGAUCCGGAUAAUAUUCCUUUCAAGGCAUUGUUGACUUUGAAGUCUAGUGACAGCUGAAAUACCCAAGCUGCUAACUAUUUUAUUGGUGAUAAAAAGCACAUAGAAAAAGCAAUGUUCCUCCUGGCAUAGACUCUCACUUGCGUACACGAGGAAGAUGCAGACAUGUGUUUGGGUUGGGUCUGCAAAAGCACUGGGGUCUUUUGCCCUCCAACUACCUCCAUUUGCAUAUGAGAUUUAUUUUUAUUGGAAAUAAUGGAUGAUAGCUCUUUAUAGCUUUUGCAUGGCAUACAAAGUGCUUUUGUUCCUCUCCCGGUAGAGCAAUACCUACUAUACUGCUUCUACAACUUGCUUACACACUUUGUCACUUAGGUCAAAGACUCCAGUUUUGCUCACACUGUAUGGGCUACACACGAACACAGUGGUAUUUCUCUUUUCCCAGUCUGCAUUUUAAAAACCAGCAGCCUUGUGAAUUACCUUUCCCAUUUCCAGAGUCAAGCACUUGGAAGCUGUUGUAGAAAGACAGUUUGAUGUCUGCAAUGACUGUGCUGGGACUCUAGCUGUAGUGAAGGGCUUCAGUGCUGGUUUUGAUGUUUAAAAUGUGGGCUGCUUCCUCUGUGAAGAGAGGUGAUACAAUUAGCAAGAUACAAAUGUUGCAAGUACAAGGCCAAGAGCUUGCUUGUCUUUUUAUAUGCAGGAAAUUACAUCAUAUCACUUUUUUAGCUGCUGAGAUGUUUGGCUGUAAAUUGAUAGAUGCUGCAACCUAGGCCAUAGCGGGAACACAUGGAGAAAAUGACUUCUUUUCAGUUCUGUGCUGGUGCAGUAUCUUUUGGGUUAAAGAUUACUUUAACUCUUUGGCAGAACAAAAUAAUACUGGUUCAUUAUGCAACAACAGUGUAUUUUCCUGGAAUUGUUGGCUAAUGAAAAAAAAAAUACACCCAUUUUAUUCAGAACAAAACUGUAAAAGCUGACAUGAAAGCUGCUUUGACCCAUGCCGGCUGCACAAUUAAUUAAAAGUUGAAGUGUGGAGUGUUUUUAAUUAAUAGUGGUAUUUCAGAUCUUUUGCUAGUUCUAAGUAGAAAGAAGCAGUGCAUAGGAGAAAAAGCUGCAAGGAGAGCUUUGUCAUCUGGGAUGCCCUAGCUCCUGUUCUGCUGCAGUAUUGCUCAAAUGACUGGAUUGAGAACUUCCCAUUGCUAAAAUCCCAGUUUGAGUUUAAAGACUUGAGUUUUAUCAGGCUUGUUCAGUUGUGCCUGUGCAGCGCGGGCUGGCCGUUCAGACUGAGGAGAUGCUCCAGGUACCCCGUCUGGACAGCUUCACGCCUGCGUGCCCGUGUUGCUUCUGGGGUGUCUCCAGAGCACGAGAGCUGGUGAUGUGGCGAGGCCAAUGCUUCCAAAACCUGUUUAGGAAGAGAACAUCAAGCAAAUGGCAUCUGUCUUUGUCCUGGUUUCGGCUGGGAUUUAACCCCGUGGUUCAGUCAUGGUUUAACCCCGGCCGGCAACCCAGCACCACACAGCCGCUUGCUCGCUGCCCCCCACCCAGAGGGAUGGGAAGGAGGAUCGGAAAGGAAUGUAAAACUCAAGGGUUGAGAUAAGAACAAUUUAAUAGGUGAAGCAAAAGCUGCGCAUGCAAGCAAAGCAAAGCAAGGGAUUCAUUCCCCACUCCCCAUGGGCAGGCAGGUGUUGGGCCAUCCCCAGGAAAGCAGGGCUCCAGCACGCAUAAUGGUAACUUGGGAAGACUAACGCCAAAUGUCCCCCCUUUCCUCCUUCUUCCCCCAGUUUAUAUCCUCAGCAUGAUGUCAUAUGGUAUGAAAUGUCCCUUUGGCUAGCUUGGGUCACCUGUCCUGGCUGUGUCCCCUCCCAGCGUCCUGUGCCCCUCCAGCCCUCUGGCUGGCAGGGCCCAAGGAACUGAAAAGUCCUUGAUUUAGUAUAAACAUCACCCAGCAACAACUAGAAACAUCCGUGUCCUAUCGACUUUGUUCUCACAUCAGAGCCAAAACACAGCACUGUACCAGCUACUAGGAAGAAAAUUAACUCUAUCCCAGCUGAAACCAGGACACUCUUUUACCCAGCGUAGCAAGAAUUUACCAAGGGAGAGGUGCUUUUUAGGAAGCCCUUUUUAGACAGCCGUUGCCAGCAGCACUGCCACAGCCCGUGGCCUUCCUCGCUUCCACUUCUGGUUCUCAGUGCUACUGCUCCCCACUGAACGAUUUCUAUAGUGCUUGCAAUUCUUUUAUCCAAGGGUUUCAGCCUGCGCACUGCUGAUGUGCUCUAAACCCAUCUUUUCUUCUUUUAUUUUUUUUUUUUCAGUGCAUCUUUUCUGGCCAGGGCUAUUGUGUUCUGCUGCACGCUCAGGAAAAAAUAUGUAUUUGUGUUCCAGCACAGCAGGCCUCUCACUGUCCCCAGCCUGCGACAGGGAGGGUGCACUUGGCUGUCAUAGCACAGCAGGUGAGAUGCUUCUUGCAAAACAACAGAAACACAUGCACCCCCCAGAAUAAAAGUGUCUUUUUGAACUAAGUUGCAUUUAACCUUGGACACAACAAUCAGUUUUUAUGAAGGAAAUACACUGAUCUGCGUAAGGGUUGUAUGGCAUGAUGCCGUUCUCUUGGGAGCAAAGUGCUUAAGCAUUUUCUCUCCUGGCAGCAUAUUUUUUGCUUCUCUGCCUUGCAUGUUGCACCAGUCGCUUGUGCUGUCUCACAGCGGUGAAGCAUUGCCAUGCACCUACAUUGGGCUGGUUUUGUUGUCAGCACUGCACAUCUGUAACUGAGACUCUUCCUUUCCGCCAGCGUACAAUGCAGACAUGUUGAAGGCGCAGGGAUUAAGCAGGUUGCAAUAUUGGCAGUAAGAGUUCCAAAGCAAAAGAAAGCCAGGAAUCGCAUUCAGAAACUAGUUCUUCACUGAAUGGAAG
Falco peregrinus (peregrine falcon) is the source of this 8301-nucleotide RNA transcript. It is a transcript of the gene named kizuna centrosomal protein, with no coding region annotated. The record is from RefSeq and is a predicted model, not a curated record. The transcript is spliced from 13 exons. Lineage: Eukaryota; Metazoa; Chordata; Aves; Falconiformes; Falconidae.